ACGGAGGGGGCUAGCGUUGUUCGGAAUUACUGGGCGCAAAGCGCACGUAGGCGGCUUUGUAAGUUAGAGGUGAAAGCCUAGGGCUUAACCCUGGAAUUGCCUUUAAGACUGCAUCGCUAGAAUUGUGGAGAGGUGAGUGGAAUUCCGAGUGUAGAGGUGAAAUUCGUAGCUAUUCGGAAGAACACCAGUGGCGAAGGCGACUCACUGGCCCGUUACCGACGCUCAGGCGCGACAGCGUGGGGAGCAAACAGGA
This 253-nucleotide ribosomal RNA is filed under the name uncultured prokaryote. Its description in RNAcentral is "partial 16S ribosomal RNA". It matches the Rfam family "Bacterial small subunit ribosomal RNA", at positions 525 to 777 of the family's 1533-position model. The record is from RNAcentral.